CUGGGAUGUGAACUACAGUAAUGGUGUAUUAAAAAUUUCAAUUGAGAAGUAUGGUGUUUAUGUAUUAAAUAAACAGACUCCAAAUAGGCAAAUUUGGUUAUCAUCUCCUAUUAGUGUCUGUGAAAGGAUUACAUAUCACUUUACGUUUCAGCUCGGACUAUGGAUCAACAUUUGUGAACUUUGAAAUUAAAUAUUUUCGCACCUCUUACAGCUACAAUAAUAUUAAAAUACAUUUUUACAGUGGACCUAAAAGGUAUGACUACAUAAAUGGAACAUGGAUCUAUAAACAUGAUGAGAGAGCACUACAUGAUCUGCUCAGCACUGAACUCAGUGAUAUAUUAAAG
This is a long non-coding RNA of Uloborus diversus, 344 nucleotides long. RefSeq lists it as uncharacterized. The record is from RefSeq and is a predicted model, not a curated record. NCBI's taxonomy places the organism in Eukaryota, Metazoa, Arthropoda, Arachnida, Araneae, Uloboridae. The transcript is spliced from 4 exons.